GGGAAAAGAGUGUGUAUAAUGUGAGGUGUGCUAUCUAAUAUAAGUAGGUUAGUCUGAAUUUGGUUGAGUAUAAGAGGUACUGUAGGGGAAAGUUGAUUAGAGGAAAGAUUUUGUUAUUAAAUUACCUUUUGUAUUAGGGAUGUUUAAAAUACGGUCUUAUUAUAGUUGUCCCGAAUUGUUUGUGGGCUAACUAAGAUUAGUAAUAUUGUUACAUAAAUAUUAAUAAUUUUUAGUUAGAGAUGAAAUAUUAGUCAAGCAGCAGGAUAUCUGGUUUUCUUAUAAAUAAAUUGAAUUUAUGGGGUUGUCUACCUUCAAAAUGCUGUUAGGCUUAGCUAACAGUAAGUUAAUAUUAAGUAGUAAGUUGUCUUUGAUAGGUUUAAUAAUGAUUAUUUGUUAGAGUUUAUUAUUAUUUAGGUAGAGGAAAAGGUAUUAUAAUAAAAUUUGAAGUCUAUGAGAAUAUGUAUUAAAGUGAAUUAGAUACAGAAAUAUUGAAUGUAUUAGUAGUUUAAGUAGAGUUUACAUUAAUGGACAUAUAAAACGAAAUGAGGAAGGGUUAAGGUAUUAUUAAGGAACUCGGCACAGUAAUCUUGCCUGUUUAAUAAAAACAUGGUUCUUCGGGGUUUGGUGAAGAAUCCGGCCUGCCCACUGACCUGAGUUGAAGGGCUGCAGUAUUUUGACUGUACAAAGGUAGCAUAAUCAUUAGUCUUUUGAUUGAGGACUGGAAUGAAAGGCUUGACAUGAUUACACUGUCUCAGUAAUAGAAAGUUAAUUUUACAUCCUUGUGAAAAGGCAAGGAUGACUUAUAGGGACGAGAAGACCCUAUAAAACUUAACUUUAAUUAAUGUGUUAUUUAGACAAUUAAUAUGAUAUGUUUAUUAAGGAUUUGCUGGGGCGGUAUUUAUUUUACAUAAAUUUAAUGAAAUGAUGGUUGUUAGCUUAAUAGAUGAUCCGAUGUUUUAGGUUGAUAAAAAGAAAGAGUUACUUUAGGGAUAACAGCGUAAUGGUUCCUGAGAGUUCUUAUUGACGGGGCUGUUUGCGACCUCGAUGUUGGAUUAGGGAGUCUUCUUGGCGCAGCUGUUAAGAAAGAUAGUCUGUUCGACUAUUAAAUUCCUACAUGAUCUGAGUUUAAACCGGCGUGAGCCAGGUUGGUUUUUAUCUUUUAUUAGUGAAAUUGAAGUGGUAGUACGAAAGGACCCCUGUUUUCUCAAAUGGUUUGUGUGUUUAUUUAAAGGUACUAAUAUCAAGAGGCUGUUGGUUAAGACUAAGCUGG
This 1270-nucleotide ribosomal RNA is filed under the name Spirobolus bungii. RNAcentral's name for it is "16S ribosomal RNA". The stretch from base 778 to 1162 matches the Rfam family "Bacterial large subunit ribosomal RNA", at positions 2049 to 2651 of the family's 2925-position model. Lineage: Eukaryota; Metazoa; Arthropoda; Diplopoda; Spirobolida; Spirobolidae. The record is from RNAcentral.